RNAcentral lists this ribosomal RNA (910 nucleotides) under Penicillium westlingii. Its description in RNAcentral is "LSU rRNA". It matches the Rfam family "Eukaryotic large subunit ribosomal RNA", at positions 36 to 964 of the family's 3401-position model. Lineage: Eukaryota; Fungi; Ascomycota; Eurotiomycetes; Eurotiales; Aspergillaceae. The record is from RNAcentral.
UAGCAUAUCAAUAAGCGGAGGAAAAGAAACCCACCGGGAUUGCCCUAGUAACGGCGAGUGAAGCGGCAAGAGCUCAAAUUUGAAAGCUGGCUCCUUCGGGGUCCGCAUUGUAAUUUGCAGAGGAUGCUUCGGGAGCGGUCCCCAUCUAAGUGCCCUGGAACGGGCCGUCAUAGAGGGUGAGAAUCCCGUAUGGGAUGGGGUGCCCGCGCCCGUGUGAAGCUCCUUCGACGAGUCGAGUUGUUUGGGAAUGCAGCUCUAAUUGGGUGGUAAAUUUCAUCUAAAGCUAAAUAUUGGCCGGAGACCGAUAGCGCACAAGUAGAGUGAUCGAAAGAUGAAAAGCACUUUGAAAAGAGAGUUAAACAGCACGUGAAAUUGUUGAAAGGGAAGCGCUUGCGAUCAGACUCGCUCGCGGGGUUCAGCCGGCCUUCGGGCCGGUGUACUUCCCCGCGGGCGGGCCAGCGUCGGUUUGGGCGGCCGGUCAAAGGCCCCUGGAAUGUAACGCCUCUCGGGGCGUCUUAUAGCCAGGGGUGCCAUGCGGCCUGCCCGGACCGAGGAACGCGCUUCGGCUCGGACGCUGGCAUAAUGGUCGUAAGCGACCCGUCUUGAAACACGGACCAAGGAGUCUAACAUCUACGCGAGUGUUCGGGUGUCAAACCCGUGCGCGCAGUGAAAGCGAACGGAGGUGGGAACCCCUCGGGGUGCACCAUCGACCGAUCCUGAUGUUUUUGGAUGGAUUUGAGUAAGAGCGUAGCUGUUGGGACCCGAAAGAUGGUGAACUAUGCCUGAAUAGGGCGAAGCCAGAGGAAACUCUGGUGGAGGCUCGCAGCGGUUUUGACGUGCAAAUCGAUCGUCAAAUUUGGGUAUAGGGGCGAAAGACUAAUCGAACCAUCUAGUAGCUGGUUCCUGCGAG